GACGAACGCUGGCGGCGUGCUUAACACAUGCAAGUCGAACGGAAAGGCCCUGCUUUUGUGGGGUGCUCGAGUGGCGAACGGGUGAGUAACACGUGAGUAACCUGCCCUUGACUUUGGGAUAACUUCAGGAAACUGGGGCUAAUACCGGAUAGGAGCUCCUGCUGCAUGGUGGGGGUUGGAAAGUUUCGGCGGUUGGGGAUGGACUCGCGGCUUAUCAGCUUGUUGGUGGGGUAGUGGCUUACCAAGGCUUUGACGGGUAGCCGGCCUGAGAGGGUGACCGGCCACAUUGGGACUGAGAUACGGCCAAGACUCCUACGGGAGGCAGAAGUGGGGAAUAUUGCACAAUGGGCGGAAGCCUGAUGCAGCAACGCCGCGUGCGGGAUGACGGCCUUCGGGUUGUAAACCGCUUUCGCCUGUGACGAAGCGUGAGUGACGGUAAUGGGUAAAGAAGCACCGGCUAACUACGUG
Molecule: ribosomal RNA, 468 nt
Filed under: uncultured bacterium
Lineage: Bacteria
Description: partial 16S ribosomal RNA
Rfam family: Bacterial small subunit ribosomal RNA
Source: RNAcentral